UACAGAGGAUGCAAGCGUUAUCCGGAAUGAUUGGGCGUAAAGCGUCUGUAGGUGGCUUUUUAAGUCCGCCGUCAAAUCCCAGGGCUCAACUCUGGACAGGCGGUGGAAACUACCAAGCUGGAGUACGGUAGGGGCAGAGGGAAUUUCUGGUGGAGCGGUGAAAUGCAUAGAGAUCGGAAAGAACACCAACGGCGAAAGUACUCUGUUGGGCUGACACUGACACUGAGAUACGAAAGCUAGUGGAGCGAAUGGG
This 253-nucleotide ribosomal RNA is filed under the name uncultured bacterium. Its description in RNAcentral is "partial 16S ribosomal RNA". It matches the Rfam family "Bacterial small subunit ribosomal RNA", at positions 524 to 776 of the family's 1533-position model. The record is from RNAcentral.